GUAAAGAAGAGGCAAUAGACGGGUCUUUGAUGGAUUUGACAUUAACGAGAAUCAAGAGCAAGAAGUUGACAGUUCUUCAACUCAAAAUUUAGUACUCAGAUUGAGGCCAUUGGAGGCCGUUUGGUUGGUGUUCUAGACGUUGCAAGGUUGGGGAACUUUCCGUUAACGAGAUACUGUUGCUUAGAACGAAGCUAGUGGCUAAGGAGUUCGCUAGAGUUGAUUCAGUUAUUGAGGUGAGCUGCUGCAUUGUUCGUGGAGGCUGCGAAAAGAGUCUUAAUUAUUUAUUCGUAUGAUGUAUUUUGUAAUUCUCUUAGAUGCUCUAUGGUCUAGUGUGGGAUUUGGGCUAGAAUUACAUUGUAAUAUUUAAGAUAUCAAUUGUUCGUAAUGGUUAUCAGAUUAUUUGGAUA
Nicotiana attenuata is the source of this 407-nucleotide long non-coding RNA. RefSeq lists it as uncharacterized. Lineage: Eukaryota; Viridiplantae; Streptophyta; Magnoliopsida; Solanales; Solanaceae. The record is from RefSeq and is a predicted model, not a curated record. The transcript has 3 exons.